CUCUGGCUCCAUCAGACAGUCCUUCUGCGCAUGUCUGGCUCCAAUUUCAGCAGUCUUUUGCGACAGUUGGUGCCCGUCAAGCAAGCGUUUUGCCCUCAAGCCGUUCAAUGGGAAAAAGGGCUGUCGCGUCGUCCAUAUUUUUUACAGUCAUUGGUCUACCCUCUUUAACCAUUGUCAAUCAUAAUUCUGCAUGACUUACAGCUUAAUUUUAUGUUAAUGUUUAUCAGGUUCCAUUUGGUGAAAUAAUAUCUGCUGCUCAAAGCCUGGUGUCGAGGCUCACCAACACCCUAAGAUCACCAGAGAACACAAACCAACUAAGAGAGAUUAGUUCAACACAGAGAGAGAGGACAACAUCAAGUUUUCAGAGCCAGUCAGUUCAGCAAGAAAUGAGGUCAUUUCCUGGGUUUUUCCGAGAGGAGCGUAGAGGGAAAAGCUGUUUUGCACCAUAUAAGUGGAAAUGUAAAAGCUUAUUAAUGUAUUUUUACCUGCUGGACAAACAGCAUGAAAAAACACCAAAAGGAGAGGCAGAAGUACAUCUCACUAUGGCUGGACUUGAAAGACAGCAGUUAAAUGUGCAAGAAAAUUUCCCCCAUUCAGAGGUAUGAUUAAAGUUCCAUGCCCUGUUAUUUUGUAUUUCUGUAUUUGUUCCAAAAUUUUAAUGUAUUAAUUAGGGAUGCUCGUUUCGGUUAAUUUUGCUAACCGACAACCGUCGCUCAUUAAUCGGUUAUUAACGGUUAACUGGUCAGAUUACAAUUAAUUUUAUAUUAAACAAAUUGACGUGUCUAUUUUGUGUCUGACACAUUAAAUAAUGCAUUUUAAAAUACUAAUUUAUUUUUAUAUGCUAGUGUAACCCAGAUUACUGAAGGGUUAUAUUUGUACAUUUAUAAAAUAAUAUAAAUGAUCAGGGGAUAAAACAACAUAUAACUGUGGAUUCAUUGUUCUAAAAUGUUCUUAAUAAGAAAUAAAUUGUUUAAAAAUAAUAAUGUGAAAUAUUCACAUGUUAUUGGUUUAGCCAAUCGGUGAUGUGUGGGAGGGAUUUGCGCUUGCUGACGCAGUGGGAAGAGACCGCCAGACUGUGGAGGAAGAGAGAGUGAGAUCGCUAGAUUUGAUGAUUUAAACUGUGAAAUCAGAUUAUAACUUUGAAACUAGUUUGAGAAACUUACAAAAAGCUUUCAUAGAGAAGUAUUUGAAGAGGAUUCAGUCGUUAAAUUGUUCCUGUGACGAUCGAUGGGAAAAUUGCAUCAUUGUGUUGUUGAGGAGUGACUAUAUGGACAUGACACAAAAUAGUUUCACCACGGACACGAAGAGUACGAAUCAAACAGCGACAGUCCACUGUCAAAAUACAUCACCGCGGUCACAGGCAUUAAUAAACGAGCCAGAGUCAUCGAACACACCAGUGCGCUUGCGUGAUGAGAUCCUGAAUCCUGACUGAAGGAAGCCCGCCGAACAAAAUGUCUGGGCAGCUCCAACACACCGUCUCAGGUUCCAUUUGGUGAAAUAAUAUCUGCUGCUCAAAGCCUGGUGUCGAGGCUCACCAACACCCUAAGAUCACCAGAGAACACAAACCAACUAAGAGAGAUUAGUUCAACACAGAGAGAGAGGACAACAUCAAGUUUUCAGAGCCAGUCAGUUCAGCAAGAAAUGAGGUCAUUUCCUGGGUUUUUCCGAGAGGAGCGUAGAGGGAAAAGCUGUUUUGCACCAUAUAAGGGGCAAUGUAAAAGCUUAUUAAUGUAUUUUUACCUGCUGGACAAACAGCAUGAAAAAACACCAAAAGGAGAGGCAGAAGUACAUCUCACUAUGGCUGGACUUGAAAGACAGCAGUUAAAUGUGCAAGAAAAUUUCCCCCAUUCAGAGGUAUGAUUAAAGUUCCAUGCCCUGUUAUUUUGUAUUUCUGUAUUUGUUCCAAAAUUUUAAUGUAUUAAUUAGGGAUGCUCGUUUCGGUUAAUUUUGCUAACCGACAACCGUCGCUCAUUAAUCGGUUAUUAACGGUUAACUGGUCAGAUUACAAUUAAUUUUAUAUUAAACAAAUUGACGUGUCUAUUUUGUGUCUGACACAUUAAAUAAUGCAUUUUAAAAUACUAAUUUAUUUUUAUAUGCUAGUGUAACCCAGAUUACUGAAGGGUUAUAUUUGUACAUUUAUAAAAUAAUAUAAAUGAUCAGGGGAUAAAACAACAUAUAACUGUGGAUUUAUUGUUCUAAAAUGUUCUUAAUAAGAAAUAAAUUGUUUAAAAAUAAUAAUGUGAAAUAUUCACAUGUUAUUGGUUUAGCCAAUCAGUGAUGUGUGGGAGGGAUUUGCGCUUGCUGACGCAGUGGGAAGAGACCGCCAGACUGUGGAGGAAGAGAGAGUGAGAUCGCUAGAUUUGAUGAUUUAAACUGUGAAAUCAGAUUAUAACUUUGAAACUAGUUUGAGAAACUUACAAAAAGCUUUCAUAGAGAAGUAUUUGAAGAGGAUUCAGUCGUUAAAUUGUUCCUGUGACGAUCGAUGGGAAAAUUGCAUCAUUGUGUUGUUGAGGAGUGACUAUAUGGACAUGACACAAAAUAGUUUCACCACGGACACGAAGAGUACGAAUCAAACAGCGACAGUCCACUGUCAAAAUACAUCACCGCGGUCACAGGCAUUAAUAAACGAGCCAGAGUCAUCGAACACACCAGUGCGCUUGCGUGAUGAGAUCCUGAAUCCUGACUGAAGGAAGCCCGCCGAACAAAAUGUCUGGGCAGCUCCAACACACCGUCUCAGGUUCCAUUUGGUGAAAUAAUAUCUGCUGCUCAAAGCCUGGUGUCGAGGCUCACCAACACCCUAAGAUCACCAGAGAACACAAACCAACUAAGAGAGAUUAGUUCAACACAGAGAGAGAGGACAACAUCAAGUUUUCAGAGCCAGUCAGUUCAGCAAGAAAUGAGGUCAUUUCCUGGGUUUUUCCGAGAGGAGCGUAGAGGGAAAAGCUGUUUUGCACCAUAUAAGUGGAAAUGUAAAAGCUUAUUAAUGUAUUUUUACCUGCUGGACAAACAGCAUGAAAAAACACCAAAAGGAGAGGCAGAAGUACAUCUCACUAUGGCUGGACUUGAAAGACAGCAGUUAAAUGUGCAAGAAAAUUUCCCCCAUUCAGAGGUAUGAUUAAAGUUCCAUGCCCUGUUAUUUUGUAUUUCUGUAUUUGUUCCAAAAUUUUAAUGUAUUAAUUAGGGAUGCUCGUUUCGGUUAAUUUUGCUAACCGACAACCGUCGCUCAUUAAUCGGUUAUUAACGGUUAACUGGUCAGAUUACAAUUAAUUUUAUAUUAAACAAAUUGACGUGUCUAUUUUGUGUCUGACACAUUAAAUAAUGCAUUUUAAAAUACUAAUUUAUUUUUAUAUGCUAGUGUAACCCAGAUUACUGAAGGGUUAUAUUUGUACAUUUAUAAAAUAAUAUAAAUGAUCAGGGGAUAAAACAACAUAUAACUGUGGAUUCAUUGUUCUAAAAUGUUCUUAAUAAGAAAUAAAUUGUUUAAAAAUAAUAAUGUGAAAUAUUCACAUGUUAUUGGUUUAGCCAAUCGGUGAUGUGUGGGAGGGAUUUGCGCUUGCUGACGCAGUGGGAAGAGACCGCCAGACUGUGGAGGAAGAGAGAGUGAGAUCGCUAGAUUUGAUGAUUUAAACUGUGAAAUCAGAUUAUAACUUUGAAACUAGUUUGAGAAACUUACAAAAAGCUUUCAUAGAGAAGUAUUUGAAGAGGAUUCAGUCGUUAAAUUGUUCCUGUGACGAUCGAUGGGAAAAUUGCAUCAUUGUGUUGUUGAGGAGUGACUAUAUGGACAUGACACAAAAUAGUUUCACCACGGACACGAAGAGUACGAAUCAAACAGCGACAGUCCACUGUCAAAAUACAUCACCGCGGUCACAGGCAUUAAUAAACGAGCCAGAGUCAUCGAACACACCAGUGCGCUUGCGUGAUGAGAUCCUGAAUCCUGACUGAAGGAAGCCCGCCGAACAAAAUGUCUGGGCAGCUCCAACACACCGUCUCAGGUAAGACUUUUGUUAAUCCCUCUUUGAGAAAUGUCCUCCAUGAGCUGUAAUAAAGGUUGAGACUUAAUGAGGUCCAUUUUCGCUGUGUUUCUUAGACAUUUUACAGAAUCAAAAUUAAGAUCGGGCCGAGGAUAGCAAGCUAAGUUAGCAUAACGUAAGUGAACUUGACAGGCAGCGAGCGCAGAACUUCUCAGUGAAUCACUUAACGGUGUUUAACUAUAACAUGGCAUCUGUUGAUUAAGUGUUUUUGAAAGCCAGAUAGAUUAUUGAUCUAUUAUAAAGAAGAUAUCAGCAAAAGGCAAGUUAAAUAUUUGAGGGUUUUUGCUUAUUUUUAUGACACUGAAUCAAAUCCAUCAAUUGUUUAAAAAACUUGAGAUCUACGUUAAUUAAUCUUAUUAUCACCGAAUGAGUGGGAAAAUAUAUUGAAUAAUGUAAUAGAGUCUGUGCAGAUUAGCAAUUGGUUAAAUAAGUGACCCGGACCCAUGGGCGUAAAUCAUGAGGGGCAGUCAUUUAAACACUGGUAUUUCAUCUGAAAGCUGAAUAAUUAAGCUCCUCAUUGAUUUAUGAGAGAAGAUUAUAUGUUCAGAUAUACGUUUUUAUAUUAUCUUUAAGUUAGCAAUCCACAUUACUAAGCAGAAAUGACGUUUUUAUAUAUUUAUAGCAAUUUACAAAGUCUUUAUAAAGAGAUUUCUUAUCUAAAGUAGACUAACCUAACUUAAAUAAUUUAAGCAAAUAGCCAAAAAAGUAUAUUUUGUCUCAUAUAGUGACUAUUUCCUCAAAUCUACCUGCUCAACAUAAGACUCGUUUCUUAGUAUUAGAAAAAUGCCCAAUAUCUAUCUGUCUGUCUGUUUUUAAUUAGCUCAGAUUAUGUCCUGCUUACAAGCACUUGAAUCUAUGAAAACUGAACAUACUAAGAUUUUUAGCAUAAUAGAAAAAGUGGACCUUUUAAAGACUAAAGACUUUGAUAUUAUUUUCUGCUGGAUUACCAGGCUGGUCAUAUGGGAUUAGUUGGAAAUGAGCGUGCAGAUAAAGCAUGAUAAAGGAAGAUAGAAGUCGGAGAUAACAGAACGUAAACUUCCUGUGUCUGAUGUUAAACCUGUUUUAAAUCUGUAUGUUAAUGAGAAAUGGCAGAUGGAAUGGGAUGAAUGUAGGAAAAACACAUGGUAUGAAGUGAAUCCAUUAAUUAAUGAAAGGAAUAAUUGCCAUUUUGAAAAUAGACAUGACCAGGUUGUUCAUACAAGAUGUAGCAUCAGACACUCAUGGCUUACACUCGCAUAUUUAUGAAAAGGGGAAGAAAUACCUAUUGGUGACUUGUGUAAAAAUAUUUUACCGAUAAAACAUUUUAAUAUGUUUAAAAUAUUUCCCGAAUAAAAACGUUCUCUAAUAUCAUGUAAAAAUACACAUUGUGUUUUUAAAUGAUAUUGGAGAAUGUUUUUAUUCUGGAAAUAUUUGAAGUGAGCUGUUUGAAAAGGUGUUUUACAAUAUUUAUCUUUAAUCUAACUAAAAGAUUGUAUAUGACUGUUUUCAGUGUUGUUGCUUGCUACUUGUAUGUUUUUUGUUGUUAUUUUAAAAUGUAUGUUUGCUAAGAUUGUUUACUAACUGAAAUGAGCAUCAUCAUGCUAACUGAUAUGCUAACUGAUAUGAUAUGAUUAUAAAUUGUAUAUUUAGUACAUGUUUUUUGCCAUGAAUAUAGCCAAUG
Molecule: non-coding RNA, 5691 nt
Organism: Danio rerio (zebrafish)
Lineage: Eukaryota; Metazoa; Chordata; Actinopteri; Cypriniformes; Danionidae
Source: RefSeq, a predicted model, not a curated record